GGACUGUGGCUCAGCGGUAGAGCACUUGCUUAGCACAUGUGAGGCCCUGGGUUCCAUCCUCAGCACCA
Molecule: transfer RNA, 68 nt
Filed under: Marmota monax (woodchuck)
Lineage: Eukaryota; Metazoa; Chordata; Mammalia; Rodentia; Sciuridae
Description: tRNA.Ala
Source: RNAcentral